GAGUUUGAUCCUGGCUCAGAGCGAACGCUGGCGGCAGGCCUAACACAUGCAAGUCGAGCGGCCGUAAGCAAUACGGCAGCGGCAGACGGGAGAGUAACACGUGGAACGUCGCCCUUUGGUUCGGAAUAACGCAGGGAAACUUGCGCUAAUACCGGAUGAGCCCUUACGGGGAAAGAGUUUAUCGCCAAAGGAGCGGCCCGCGUCUGAUUAGCUAGUUGGUGAGGUAACGGCUCACCAAGGACGACGAUCAGUAGCUGGUCUGAGAGGAUGAUCAGCCUCACUGGGACUGAGACACGGCCCAGACUCUACGGGAGCAGCAGUGGGGAAUAUUGGACAAUGGGCGCGAAGCCUGAUCCAGCCAAUGCCGCGUGGAUGGUGAAGGCCUUUGGGUUGUAAA
This 397-nucleotide ribosomal RNA is filed under the name uncultured Alphaproteobacteria bacterium. Its description in RNAcentral is "bacterial SSU rRNA". It matches the Rfam family "Bacterial small subunit ribosomal RNA", at positions 9 to 429 of the family's 1533-position model. The record is from RNAcentral. Lineage: Bacteria; Pseudomonadati; Pseudomonadota; Alphaproteobacteria.